CCCCCACAUUGGAACUGAGACACCGGUCCAAACUCCUACGGGAGGCAGCAGUGAGGAAUAUUGGUCAAUGGACGAGAGUCUGAACCAGCCAAGUAGCGUGCAGGAAGGCGGCCCUAUGGGUUGUAAACUGCUUUUAUAAGGGAAUAAAGUGAGUCUCGUGAGACUUUUUGCAUGUACCUUAUGAAUAAGGACCGGCUAAUUCCGUGCCAGCAGCCGCGGUAAUACGGAAGGUCCGGGCGUUAUCCGGAUUUAUUGGGUUUAAAGGGAGCGUAGGCCGGAGAUUAAGCGUGUUGUGAAAUGUAGAUGCUCAACAUCUGAACUGCAGCGCGAACUGGUUUCCUUGAGUACGCACAAAGUGGGCGGAAUUCGUGGUGUAGCGGUGAAAUGCUUAGAUAUCACGAAGAACUCCGAUUGCGAAGGCAGCUCACUGGAGCGCAACUGACGCUGAAGCUCGAAAGUGCGGGUAUCAAAAAGGAUUAGAUACCCUGGUAGUCCGCACGGUAAACGAUGGAUGCCCGCUGUUGGUCUGAAUAGGUCAGCGGCCAAGCGAAAGCAUUAAGCAUCCCACCUGGGGAGUACGCCGGCAACGGUGAAACUCAAAGGAAUUGACGGGGGCCCGCACAAGCGGAGGAACAUGUGGUUUAAUUCGAUGAUACGCGAGGAACCUUACCCGGGCUUGAAUUGCAGAGGAAGGAUUUGGAGACAAUGACGCCCUUCGGGGCCUCUGUGAAGGUGCUGCAUGGUUGUCGUCAGCUCGUGCCGUGAGGUGUCGGCUUAAGUGCCAUAACGAGCGCAACCCCUCUCCUUAGUUGCCAUCAGGUGAAGCUGGGCACUCUGGGGACACUGCCACCGUAAGGUGUGAGGAAGGUGGGGAUGACGUCAAAUCAGCACGGCCCUUACGUCCGGGGCUACACACGUGUUACAAUGGCAGGUACAGAGAGACGGUCCCUUGCAAAAUGGAUCAAAUCCUUAAAGCCUGUCUCAGUUCGGACUGGGGUCUGCAACCCGACCCCACGAAGCUGGAUUCGCUAGUAAUCGCGCAUCAGCCAUGGCGCGGUGAAUACGUUCCCGGGCCUUGCACA
Molecule: ribosomal RNA, 1082 nt
Filed under: uncultured bacterium
Lineage: Bacteria
Description: bacterial SSU rRNA
Rfam family: Bacterial small subunit ribosomal RNA
Source: RNAcentral